This 177-nucleotide non-coding RNA is filed under the name Eubacterium nodatum ATCC 33099. RNAcentral describes it as "6S / SsrS RNA". It matches the Rfam family "6S / SsrS RNA". Rfam says of the family: E. coli 6S RNA was the first non coding RNA to be sequenced, but its function was unknown until recently. It consists of 184 nucleotides that fold into an extended hairpin structure with a large single-stranded internal bulge. The record is from Rfam by way of RNAcentral. Lineage: Bacteria; Bacillati; Bacillota; Clostridia; Peptostreptococcales; Anaerovoracaceae.
ACUUGCCUAGAACAUUUGUUGAGGGCUCUUAAUUGAACCUACAACACUUAAUCGGGAAUCCGGGUUCAUUGUGGGCUGUCAUGCCUUUUUAUAAGGACGACAAAACACCGUGGCAGGAUACCCACCUAUCAUUACGAUAGGCGUCAAUUAAGCCCUAACGGUGUUUCUGGGUUGUUU